AUUGAACGCUGGCGGCAGGCCUAACACAUGCAAGUCGAACGAGCGGCGGACGGGUGAGUAAUGUAUGGGGAACUGCCCGAUAGAGGGGGAUAACUACUGGAAACGGUGGCUAAUACCGCAUACUAUCGGAUGAACCCAAAUUGGAUUAGCUAGUAGGUGGGGUAAUGGCUCACCUAGGCGACGAUCACUAGCUGGUCUGAGAGGAUGACCAGCCACACUGGAACUGAGACACGGCCCAGACUCCUACGGGAGGCAGCAGUGGGGAAUAUUGCACAUUGGGCGCAAGCCUGAUGCAGCCAUGCCGCGUGUAUGAAGAAGGCCUUCGGGUUGUAAAGUACUUUCAGCGGGGAGGCGUUACCCGCAGAAGAAGCACCGGCUAACUCCGUGCCAGCAGCCGCGGUAAUAC
This 406-nucleotide ribosomal RNA is filed under the name uncultured bacterium. RNAcentral's name for it is "partial 16S ribosomal RNA". It matches the Rfam family "Bacterial small subunit ribosomal RNA", at positions 30 to 526 of the family's 1533-position model. The record is from RNAcentral.